AAGACCUCGCGCUAUUGGAGCGGCCGAUGUCCGAUUAGCUAGUUGGUGGGGUAAUGGCCCACCAAGGCGACGAUCGGUAGCUGGUCUGAGAGGAUGAUCAGCCACACUGGGACUGAGACACGGCCCAGACUCCUACGGGAGGCAGCAGUGGGGAAUUUUGGACAAUGGGCGAAAGCCUGAUCCAGCCAUGCCGCGUGAGUGAAGAAGGCCUUCGGGUUGUAAAGCUCUUUCGGCCGGAACGAAAUCGCGCGAGCUAACACCUCGCGUGGAUGACGGUACCGGAAGAAGAAGCACCGGCUAACUACGUGCCAGCAGGCGCGGUAAUACGUAGGGUGCAGGCGUUAAUCGGAAUUACUGGGCGUAAAGCGUGCGCAGGCGGCUUCCUAAGUCAGAUGUGAAAUCCCCGGGCUCAACCUGGGAACU
This 423-nucleotide ribosomal RNA is filed under the name uncultured bacterium. RNAcentral describes it as "bacterial SSU rRNA". It matches the Rfam family "Bacterial small subunit ribosomal RNA", at positions 202 to 622 of the family's 1533-position model. The record is from RNAcentral.